CAAUAGCGUAUAUUAAAGUUGUUGCAGUUAAAAAGCUCGUAGUUGGAUUUCUGCUGAGGACGAUCGGUCCGCCCACUGGGUGAGUAUCUGGCUCGGCCUUGGCAUCUUCUUGGAGAACGUUGCUGCACUUGACUGUGUGGCGCGGUAUCCAGGACUUUUACUUUGAGGAAAUUAGAGUGUUUCAAGCAGGCGCACGCCUUGAAUACAUUAGCAUGGAAUAAUGAGAUAGGACCUUGGUUCUAUUUUGUUGGUUUCUAGAGCUGAGGUAAUGAUUAAUAGGGAUAGUUGGGGGCAUUCGUAUUUAACUGUCAGAGGUGAAAUUCCUGGAUUUGUUAAAGACGGACUACUGCGAAAGCAUUUGCCAAGGAUGUUUUCAUUGA
This 380-nucleotide ribosomal RNA is filed under the name uncultured eukaryote. Its description in RNAcentral is "partial 18S ribosomal RNA". It matches the Rfam family "Eukaryotic small subunit ribosomal RNA", at positions 592 to 976 of the family's 1831-position model. The record is from RNAcentral.